CCUACGGUGCGCAGCAGUCGAGAAUCAUUCACAAUGGGGGAAACCCUGAUGGUGCGACGCCGCGUGGGGGAAUGAAGGUCUUCGGAUUGUAAACCCCUGUCAUGUGGGAGCAAAUUAAAAAGAUAGUACCACAAGAGGAAGAGACGGCUAACUCUGUGCCAGCAGCCGCGGUAAUACAGAGGUCUCAAGCGUUGUUCGGAAUCACUGGGCGUAAAGCGUGCGUAGGCUGUUUCGUAAGUCUUGUGUGAAAGGCGCGGGCUCAACCCGCGGACGGCACAUGAUACUGCGAGACUAGAGUAAUGGAGGGGGAACCGGAAUUCUCGGUGUAGCAGUGAAAUGCGUAGAUAUCGAGAGGAACACUCGUGGCGAAGGCGGGUUCCUGGACAUUAACUGACGCUGAGGCACGAAGGCCAGGGGAGCGAAAGGGAUUAGAUACCCCUGUAGUC
RNAcentral lists this ribosomal RNA (446 nucleotides) under uncultured bacterium. RNAcentral's name for it is "partial 16S ribosomal RNA". It matches the Rfam family "Bacterial small subunit ribosomal RNA", at positions 338 to 795 of the family's 1533-position model. The record is from RNAcentral.